Molecule: ribosomal RNA, 253 nt
Filed under: uncultured bacterium
Lineage: Bacteria
Description: partial 16S ribosomal RNA
Rfam family: Bacterial small subunit ribosomal RNA
Source: RNAcentral
GACGAACCGUGCGAACGUUGUUCGGAAUCACUGGGCUUAAAGGGCGCGUAGGCGGGCGGUCAAGUCAGGGGUGAAAUCCCACGGCUCAACCGUGGAAGUGCCUUUGAUACUGGCCGCCUCGAGGGAGGUAGGGGCGUGCGGAACUUCCGGUGGAGCGGUGAAAUGCGUAGAUAUCGGAAGGAACACCGGUGGCGAAAGCGGCGCGCUGGACCUUUACUGACGCUGAGGCGCGAAAGCCAGGGGAGCAAACGGG